CUGGUUUAAGUUUUUCUUCUUUUUGCUUAAACCGAUUUGGAUUUUCCCCUUUUUUUGCCUGAUUCGAAUCGGGUCACACUUCUGCAUUAGGCGCAAUUAUUUCUCUUCCUCUUCCUCUUUCUUCUGCUAUUAUCUUCCUUCAUCGACAAGAUGAAUCUCACCGAUCACCAUCAAUCGCUUCUUCCAUUACUGUUUUCUCUUUCUUCGUCACCAUUUUUUAUUUUUUUUAAUUAUCUAUCCGUCGCAUCGCACGGGUUACUGUACUUGAGAGUUUAUUAAAGAGAGUUGAGACCAUAAGGGGUAUUUUGAAAAAUGAAAGAUAAAUUUUAAAUUUUAUAAUAUUAGGUAGGAAUAUUUAAA
Molecule: long non-coding RNA, 360 nt
Filed under: Ananas comosus (pineapple)
Lineage: Eukaryota; Viridiplantae; Streptophyta; Magnoliopsida; Poales; Bromeliaceae
Description: long non-coding RNA (ACOM_LNC023866)
Source: RNAcentral